This 77-nucleotide transfer RNA is filed under the name Oscillospiraceae bacterium. RNAcentral describes it as "tRNA-Arg". It matches the Rfam family "tRNA". Rfam says of the family: Transfer RNA (tRNA) molecules are approximately 80 nucleotides in length. The record is from RNAcentral. Lineage: Bacteria; Bacillati; Bacillota; Clostridia; Eubacteriales; Oscillospiraceae.
GCGCCCAUAGCUCAGAUGGAUAGAGCGUCAGACUCCGACUCUGAAGGCCGCUGGUUCAAUUCCAGUUGGGCGUACCA